Molecule: ribosomal RNA, 408 nt
Filed under: uncultured bacterium
Lineage: Bacteria
Description: partial 16S ribosomal RNA
Rfam family: Bacterial small subunit ribosomal RNA
Source: RNAcentral
GACGAACGCUGGCGGCGUGCUUAACACAUGCAAGUCGAACGAAGUGGCGAACGGGUGAGUAACGCGUAAUCAACCUGCCCAUCAGAGGGGGACAACAGUUGGAAACGACUGCUAAUACUGCAAACUGAAGGUGGGGAUUGCGUCUGAUUAGCUAGUUGGAGGGGUAACGGCCAACCAAGGCGAUGAUCAGUAGCCGGUCUGGGAGGAUGAACGGCCACAUUGGGACUGGAACACGGCCCAAACUCCUUCGGGGAGCAAGAGUGGGGGAUCUUCCGCAAUGGGCGAAAAUCUUGCGGAGCAACGCCGCGUGGUUGAUAGCGGCCUUCGGGUUGUAAAGCUCUGUUUAUCGGGACGCGGUACCGGAAUAGAAAGCCACGGCUAACUACGUGCCAGCAGCCGCGGUAAUAC